GACGAACGCUGGCGGCGUGCUUAACACAUGCAAUUCGAACGGAAAGUCCCUGCUUUUGUUGGUUCCUCGAGUGGCGAGCGGGUGAAUAACACGUGAGUAACCUGCCCUUGACGUUGGGAUAACUUCAGGAAACUGUGGCUAAUACCGGUUAUACGCUCCUGCUUCAUGUUGUGGGUUGGAAAUUUUCGGCGGUUGGGGAUGGACUCGAGGCACAUCAGCUUGUGGGUUGGUUAGUGGCUUACCAAGUCUUUGACGGGUGGCCGGCCUGAGAGGGUGAACGGCCCCAUUGGGAAUGAGAUACGGCCGAGACUACUACGGGAGGCAGGAGUGGAGACUAUUGCACAAUGGGCGGGAGACUGAUGAAGCAACGCCGAGUGCGGGAUGACGGUGUUAGGGUUGUAAGCCGCUUUCGCUUGUGACGAAGCGCGAGUGCCGGUACUGGGUAAAGAAGCACCGGCGAACUACGU
RNAcentral lists this ribosomal RNA (467 nucleotides) under uncultured bacterium. RNAcentral describes it as "partial 16S ribosomal RNA". It matches the Rfam family "Bacterial small subunit ribosomal RNA", at positions 28 to 506 of the family's 1533-position model. The record is from RNAcentral.